Molecule: transfer RNA, 78 nt
Filed under: Marmota monax (woodchuck)
Lineage: Eukaryota; Metazoa; Chordata; Mammalia; Rodentia; Sciuridae
Description: tRNA.Arg
Source: RNAcentral
GUUUGGGAAUGUAGCUCAGUGGUAGAGUGCCACAUGCCUAGCAUGUGGAAGGCCCUGGGUUCAAUCCCUGGCAAAACA